Molecule: ribosomal RNA, 591 nt
Filed under: Ruegeria atlantica
Lineage: Bacteria; Pseudomonadati; Pseudomonadota; Alphaproteobacteria; Rhodobacterales; Roseobacteraceae
Description: bacterial SSU rRNA
Rfam family: Bacterial small subunit ribosomal RNA
Source: RNAcentral
GGCGGACGGGUUAGUAACGCGUGGGAACAUACCCUUUGGUACGGAAUAGCCUCUGGAAACGGAGAGUAAUACCGUAUGAGCCCUUCGGGGGAAAGAUUUAUCGCCAAAGGAUUGGCCCGCGUUAGAUUAGGUAGUUGGUGGGGUAAUGGCCUACCAAGCCUACGAUCUAUAGCUGGUUUUAGAGGAUGAUCAGCAACACUGGGACUGAGACACGGCCCAGACUCCUACGGGAGGCAGCAGUGGGGAAUCUUGGACAAUGGGGGCAACCCUGAUCCAGCCAUGCCGCGUGAGUGAUGAAGGCCUUAGGGUCGUAAAGCUCUUUCGCCUGUGAAGAUAAUGACGGUAGCAGGUAAAGAAACCCCGGCUAACUCCGUGCCAGCAGCCGCGGUAAUACGGAGGGGGUUAGCGUUGUUCGGAAUUACUGGGCGUAAAGCGCACGUAGGCGGACUGGAAAGUUGGGGGUGAAAUCCCAGGGCUCAACCCUGGAACUGCCUCCAAAACUAUCAGUCUAGAGUUCGAGAGAGGUGAGUGGAAUUCCGAGUGUAGAGGUGAAAUUCGUAGAUAUUCGGAGGAACACCAGUGGCGAAGGCG